GACGAACGCUGGUGGCGUGCUUAACACAUGCAAGUCGAACGGGAUUUAGUAAACAGAAGCCUCGGUGGAAGAUUACUAAUGAGAGUGGCGAACGGGUGAGUAACGCGUGAGCAACCUGCCUAUGACAGUGGGAUAGCCUCGGGAAACCGGGAUUAAUACCGCAUAAAAUCGUAGAAACACAUGUUUUAACGGUCAAAGAUUUAUCGGUCAUAGAUGGGCUCGCGUCUGAUUAGCUAGUUGGUGAGAUAACAGCCCACCAAGGCGACGAUCAGUAGCCGGUCUGAGAGGAUGAACGGCCACAUUGGAACUGAGACACGGUCCAAACUCCUACGGGAGGCAGCAGUGUGGAAUAUUGCACAAUGGGGGAAACCCUGAUGCAGCGACGCCGCGUGAACGAAGAAGGUAUUCGUAUCGUAAAGUUCUGUCCUAUGGGAAGAUAAUGACAGUACCAUAGAAGAAAGCUCCGGCUAAAUACGUG
RNAcentral lists this ribosomal RNA (478 nucleotides) under uncultured bacterium. RNAcentral describes it as "partial 16S ribosomal RNA". It matches the Rfam family "Bacterial small subunit ribosomal RNA", at positions 28 to 507 of the family's 1533-position model. The record is from RNAcentral.